AUUGAACGCUGGCGGCAGGCCUAACACAUGCAAGUCGAGCGGAGCGGCGGACGGGUGCGUAAUGCCUAGGACUCUGCCUGGUAGUGGGGGAUAACGUCCGGUAACGGGCGCUAAUACUGCUUCCUAUCGGCUUCGCCUGGGUCGGAUUAGCUAGAUGGUGGGGUAAAGGCCUACCAAGGCGACGAUCCGUAACUGGUCUGAGAGGAUGAGCAGUCACACUGGAACUGAGACACGGUCCAGACUCCUACGGGAGGCAGCAGUGGGGAAUAUUGGACAAUGGGCGAAAGCCUGAUGCAGCCAUGCCGCGUGUGUGAAGAAGGUCUUCGGGUUGUAAAGCACUUUCAGUUGGGAGGCGUUACCAGCAGAAUAAGCACCGGCUAACUUCGUGCCAGCCGCCGCGGUAAUAC
Molecule: ribosomal RNA, 407 nt
Filed under: uncultured bacterium
Lineage: Bacteria
Description: partial 16S ribosomal RNA
Rfam family: Bacterial small subunit ribosomal RNA
Source: RNAcentral